GUUGACAUGAAUAUAUACGUUUUUUAGUUCACUGUUAAUUAAAAUUUUCAGAUUUAUAUCACACUCUAAAUUUUAGAUUCUAUCUAAACCUAUCCUAACUAAACUUAAUCAUGAUCAGUAACCAUCCGCUCAAAACUGACUAUGCCCACUUCUAUUUCUUCUACUGAUAUUCUAAGUAUAUCAAAAAUUCAAGGAUUCUGACACUUAUGGCUACUCACUGUGAUUUCAUUCCUCCAUCGCUCGAACAAUACUUCUCAAAUCACACACAACAAUCCCCCAGUUCCCUUCUUCCUCUUUUCUCUCCCUUCACUUCCCGGCCGGCGGCACUCUUACCGGUGAAAAUGGACGUUCGCCGGAGAUGUGAUUAUAUGAGUUGCUCGAUUGGAAAAUCAUAAUACAGUACAAGAGAAUUCCUUUUGAUAAAAAAGGCUAAUGGUCUAAUUUUAUUCCUUCUCCAUGUCAUUGGCCUUUUUCAUUAGGCUUGAUUAUUGGUUUGAAUAACAUACAGAAGUGUCUAUUAUUAGACUUACUGGUAGUUCUACUUAUGCCGUGAAAUUUAGUUUUCAAAGAGUGAUGACUUUACUGUGAAUAACUGCACGCAGGUAAUCGUUAUGAAAAUGAAAUUGAGUUUACAUUUUGUUUCAUAUGUGUUAGAUUCACUUUGUAAAGUUCCAGUCCAUAAGGAGAAGCUAAUAAUGAGUAGAAGAGGUUUUUUUUUCCUUGAGUUCAGUAUAGAUUGUGUUCUUAACUUGUGGCCUUGGAUAUGGGAUUAUUUAUGAUUUUUGCCAAAGCUUUUUUACCUGUUUAGUGUCAUUGAAAUUUAGAAAAUUUACUUAUCACAAAGUCAGUUGAACACUAAGUUUUAUCAACCGAAUCUAACUUGGGUGAUAUCUCAGCUCUUGAAUAUAAUUUUAUCAACCGAAUCUAACUUGGGUGAUAUCUCAGCUCUUGAAGUAUAAAAAAGAAGAAAUUCAAAUCUUGUAGUUCUUCUUUUGAAACAAAUUAUAUUUUUAUAAUGGUAUUCUUAGAAAUAUUAUAUAACUGAUAAGCUAACUAUAAAGAUAUUCUUUUAAUAACAGAUUUGUUGACUUGGAGCAAUAUGCUAAAGCAAGGAGAUGUGGUAGUAUUUUCAAAAUAAUUGAGUCCAAAUAUCAAUAUGCAUGUAAGCAUUCUAGAAACUAAGGACAAAUGGCUCUUCUAAGCCAAGUGACUAUGAAUACCCACCAUGUGGCACUUUGCAUGAAAAUAUGUAGCCAAAUGGCCAAGCUAUAAACAAAUAGCAAUCCUCCUUCAUGCAAUCAAACAAAUGACAAUCGAAGAAGCUUUCAUUAGGCCUAUAAAUAGCCAUGAUUAGGCCAUUAUUAUUCAAUCAUCAAAUACUAAAAAAGCUAAUCAUUAGCAAAGAAGAAAUUCUUCUUUCUUC
Molecule: long non-coding RNA, 1423 nt
Filed under: Nicotiana benthamiana
Lineage: Eukaryota; Viridiplantae; Streptophyta; Magnoliopsida; Solanales; Solanaceae
Description: long non-coding RNA (NBEN_LNC023404)
Source: RNAcentral